GAUGACAUCACUUCUCAAAAUCAAAAUAUAUCCCAGAUGCUCCUCAACUUACAAUGGGGUUACUUCCCAAUAAACCCAUCGUAAAGUCAACCAUAAGUCAGAGACAGUCUCUAUAUAUUUUCUUGAUAAAUGGGAUACCCACCUCCCGGGUUCAAGUGAUUCUCCUGCCUCAGCCUCCUGAGUAGCUGGGACUACAGGCAUGCACCACCACACCCGGCUAAUUUUUGUAUUUUUUGUAGAGACAGAGUUUCAACAUGUUGGUCAGGCUGGUCUCGAACUCCCGACCUUGUGAUCCACCCACCUCGGCCUCCCAAAGUGCUGGAUUACAGGUGUGAGCCACCGCGCCCAGCCUCGCGAUUUCCAAGUUUUCAGUCACAUAGCAAUGCUACAAUAAACACCCUUGUGCACACAUUCUGGUACACAACAGCAGUUCCCCACCUUCUGAGUCCCAACUCAAGAGGUUCUUGUUUUCAGAUUUCAAGUUUCAGAUCUCCAAGGGGAACUAAUUCUCACAGGAACUGCUUUUUCUAGUCCUGCUCUAGGCUGGAAUGGGGUGAUGUGUAACCUAUUUUUGUGUUAAAAUCAAUUGACCUUGGGAACGUGAUAAUACAGGGAACUAAAAGCACUCACACUACUCAAAGCUUAUUAAAACCUCUUUAAAAAUCAAGAGGCAGGGGCCAGGCGCGGUGGCUCACGCCUGUAAUCCCAACACUUUGGGAGGCCGAGGCGGGCGGAUCACGAGAUCAGGAGAUCCAGACCAGCCUGGCUAACACGGUGAAACCCCGUCUCUACUAAAAACACAAAAAAUCAGCCGGGCGUGGUGGCGGGCACCUGUAGUCCCAGCUACUUGGGAGGCUGAGGCAGGAGAAUGACGUGAACCCGGGAGGCGGAGCUUGCAGUGAGACGAGAUCACGCCACUGCACUCCAGCCUGGGGGACAGAGCGAGACUCCGUCUCAAAAACAAAAAAAAAAGAGUGUUAUUUUUAAAAACUUUUUAAAGCUUAAAUUCCUCUUAUUAGAAUGCUAUACACACACAUUUAUACGUUUGAGAAAACAGUAGUCCAAAGCAAGAGCAGGAAAGGGAAAGAACAGUAGUAGUCAGCUAGACAUUUGGUUUUGUAUCCUUAACAUCUAUUCUGAGUGGAAAUUAAACCAAAUGAGCCUUUAACAUAAACGUUUGAAAGAGUAACAGCAUCUGGCCUGCUUCCUCCAUACAAUGAGGUGUCCAUCAUGUGACAUGGGGGAAAACAGCAGAUUUCUGGAAAAAUAAUUACCAAAUAAUGUUGUGCCAACAUCUUCUAGAAUAAUAAACUUCUUUUUCCUAUCAAGGUCCAUUGUUCAGGGACAUUUCCAUUACCUGACAACAGGAAAAAUUAUCUUUACUCUCAGAGUACAAAAACAUUCCUAAGAACAGAGAGCAACAACAUAACCUUCUGACUCAAGAUAGUCUCUGUUCCGGUAAUUUGAUGACAAAUAGUGUUGCUGAUCAGCAGAAUAUAGAGUGGAAAGGGCGGCUUUUUUGCACAUGCCUUCCCCUACCUUUGAAUUAGGAGCACUCUUCUAAAACUAGAAAUGCUUCACGAAGUCAGACAAAGUCUACAAAGUACUGCAAUACUUAAUACCCAUGAGGCACACUUCCAUAAGAAGAAAAUGAUAUGCAGGAAGGAUUAAACUGCCCAUUCUCACAAGAAACAUUCCAUGGGCAAAGGCACUAAGGUAGAUGUAUAGAUGUAGUCGGCAGGAUAAUGGUCCCAAAGAUAUACAUGUCCUAAUCACUGGAACCUGUGAACAUGUUAAAUUCCAUGGCAAAAGGGGAUUAAGAUUGCAGAUGGAAUUACAUCUCCUAAUCAGCCAACUUUAGAAGAGGGAGAUUAUCCUAGAGUAUCCAAGUGGGCACACGGAUUCUUCCAAAUGGAAGAGGGAGGCAGGACAAUCAGUGUCAGAGUGAUGAGAGGUGAGACUCAAUCAGCCACUGCUGGCUUUGAAGAUGCAGGAAGGAGCUAAGAGCCAAGGAGUGUGGGCAGCCUUUAGAAGCUGGAAAGGUAAGGAAGUAGAUCUUUCCCUAGAGCCUCCAGAAAGAAACACAACCCUGCUGAAAUACAUUUUGGCCCAGUGAGACCCAUUCCAGACUUCUGGCCUCCAAACUGUAAGAUAAUAAUGUAUAUUGUCUUAAGCCACUAAAUUUGUGAUAAUUUGUUAUGGCAGCAACAGGAAACUAAUACAAUGGAAAUGUCCGUCCGGCUGCUUUCUGGAUGUUUUUAAUCUCAAAAAAAGACUUUUGGCCAGGCACGGUGGCUCACGCCUGUAAUCCCAGCACUUUGGGAGGAAGAGGUAUGUGGAUCACCUGAGGUCAGGGGUUCGAGACCAGCCUGGCCAACGUGGUAAAACCCUGUCUCUACUAAAAAUACAAAAUUAGCCAGGAGUGGUGGCAUAUGCCUGUAGUCCCAGCUACUUGGGAGGCUGAGGCAGGAGAAUCGCUUAAACCUAGGAGGCAGAGGUUGCAGUGAGCCGAGGCCGUGCCAAAAAAAAAAAAAAGACUUUUAAUCCCUCUCAAGAUACACACAUUUAUAUACACAUUUGUCAAACACCUUAAUACUUCCUAGAAUAAAGUGGAUUCACACCACAAAUCACCUUACUGUAGGUUAUAGAGUAGUCCCUCCUUAUCCACAGGGGAUACUUUCCAAGACCCCCCACGGAUGCCUAGACCACAAAUAGUAGUGAACCCUAUAUACAACAUGUUUGUUCCUAUACAUACAUACCUAUGAUAAAAUUUAUAAAGUAGGCAGAGAUUAAUAAUAAACUAAUAAUAAAGAACAUUAUAAUAAAUAAUAAAGAACAAUAAGUUGUUCUAUAAAAUAUGCUGUAAUAAGAGUUACGUGAAUGUAGUCUCUCAAAAUAUUUCCUUGUACUAUACUCACAUAUUUUCAAACCACAGCUAACUGCAGAUAAUUGAAACCAUGGAAGGUGAAACCAUGGAUAAGGGGGAAAGUAUGCUAGCCUCCUCUUAAAGAAUUUAUUUGCUACACUCAUCUUUCAAACAUAGAAUAGGCCAGGCGCAGUGGCUCACGCCUGUAAUCCCAACACUUUGGAAGGCUGAGAUAGGCACAUCACUUGAGGUCAGGAGUUUGAGACCAGUCUGGCCAACAUGGCCAAACCCUGUCUCUACCAAAAAUAAAAAAAUUAGCCAGGCACAGUGGUGUGCGCCUGCAGUCCCAGCUACUCGGGAGGCUCAGGCAGGAGAAUCGCUUGAACCCGGGAGGCAGAGGUUGCAGUGAGCCGAGAUGGCGCCACUGCACUACAGCCUGGGCGACAGAGUGAGACUCCGUUUCAAAAAUAAAAUAAAAUAAAAUAAAAUAAUAAAAUAAAAUAAAAUAAAAAAUUAGCCGGGCAUGGUGGCGUGCGUAUGGUUCCAGCCACUCAAGAGGCUGACGUGAGCUACGAUCACGCCACUGUGCUCCAGCCUGGGUGACAGAGCGAGAUCUCGUCUCUUAAAAAAAAAAAAAAAAGAAAAAUGUCCCAUUAGUUAUUAAACUAGAAUUGGGUUCCAUUUGGCCACAGAGUUCUGCUUUAUUUGUACUUUGCUACCAAACCACAAAAGUUCACCACUUGUUCUAUUUGCCAUUCUUCCUUUUAAUUCCUCAUGAACAAACUUAAUAAAUUAACUACAGCAUGUCAAACAACCUUUUGCAACCCUUGCAAUUUCAAACUCUUGGAGGGAGGCACCCCUGGCCUGGGCCAGCAGCCUCAACGCGCGGGAGCGAAGGGAGCGGGACAGCGGCUCCGCUUGCCAAGUCCCCAGUCAGGGGAGGAGCGGCGUCCCCACCGCGGUGCCCCUCG
RNAcentral lists this long non-coding RNA (3837 nucleotides) under Homo sapiens (human). Its description in RNAcentral is "HSALNT0391963". The record is from RNAcentral. Lineage: Eukaryota; Metazoa; Chordata; Mammalia; Primates; Hominidae.